UACGGAGGGUGCAAGCGUUAUCCGGAUUCACUGGGUUUAAAGGGUGCGUAGGUGGGUCUGUAAGUCCGUGGUGAAAUCUCCGAGCUUAACUUGGAAACUGCCAUGGAUACUAUAGAUCUUGAAUACUUUGGAGGUAAGCGGAAUAUGUCAUGUAGCGGUGAAAUGCUUAGAUAUGACAUAGAACACCAAUUGCGAAGGCAGCUUACUACACAGUUAUUGACACUGAGGCACGAAAGCGUGGGGAUCAAACAGG
Molecule: ribosomal RNA, 253 nt
Filed under: uncultured bacterium
Lineage: Bacteria
Description: partial 16S ribosomal RNA
Rfam family: Bacterial small subunit ribosomal RNA
Source: RNAcentral